Molecule: ribosomal RNA, 550 nt
Filed under: uncultured bacterium
Lineage: Bacteria
Description: bacterial SSU rRNA
Rfam family: Bacterial small subunit ribosomal RNA
Source: RNAcentral
UAGGGANUCUUCCGCAAUGGACGCAAGUCUGACGGAGCAACGCCGCGUGAGUGAAGAAGGUUUUCGGAUCGUAAAACUCUGUUGUUAGAGAAGAACAAGUGCUAGAGUAACUGUUAGCGCCUUGACGGUAUCUAACCAGAAAGCCACGGCUAACUACGUGCCAGCAGCCGCGGUAAUACGUAGGUGGCAAGCGUUGUCCGGAUUUAUUGGGCGUAAAGCGAGCGCAGGCGGUUCCUUAAGUCUGAUGUGAAAGCCCCCGGCUCAACCGGGGAGGGUCAUUGGAAACUGGGGAACUUGAGUGCAGAAGAGGAGAGUGGAAUUCCAUGUGUAGCGGUGAAAUGCGUAGAUAUAUGGAGGAACACCAGUGGCGAAGGCGACUCUCUGGUCUGUAACUGACGCUGAGGCUCGAAAGCGUGGGUAGCAAACAGGAUUAGAUACCCUGGUAGUCCACGCCGUAAACGAUGAGUGCUAAGUGUUGGAGGGUUUCCGCCCUUCAGUGCUGUAGUUAACGCAUUAAGCACUCCGCCUGGGGAGUACGACCGCAAGGUUG